Molecule: transfer RNA, 66 nt
Filed under: Pachliopta kotzebuea
Lineage: Eukaryota; Metazoa; Arthropoda; Insecta; Lepidoptera; Papilionidae
Description: tRNA-Asp
Source: RNAcentral
AAAGAAUUAGUUAAAAUAUAACCUAAAUAUGUCAAAUUUAUAUUAUUACUAAUGUAAUAUUCUUUU